RNAcentral lists this ribosomal RNA (465 nucleotides) under uncultured bacterium. RNAcentral's name for it is "partial 16S ribosomal RNA". It matches the Rfam family "Bacterial small subunit ribosomal RNA", at positions 338 to 795 of the family's 1533-position model. The record is from RNAcentral.
CCUACGGGAGACUGCAGUAGGGAAUCUUCCACAAUGGGCGAAAGCCUGAUGGAGCAACGCCGCGUGGGUGAAGAAGGUCUUCGGAGCGUAAAACCCUGUUGUUAGAGAAGAAAGUGCGUGAGAGUAACUGUUCACGUUUCGACGGUAACUUACCAGAAAGCAAUGGCUAACUACGUGCCAGCAGCCGCGGUAAGACGUCGGUUGCAAUCGUUAUCCGGAGUUAUUGGGCGUAAAGGGAAUGCAGGCGGUCUUUUAAGUCUGCUGUGAAAGCCUUCGGCUUAACCGGAGUAGUGCAUUGGAAACUGGGAGACUUGAGUGCAGAAGAGGAGAGUGGAACUCCAUGUGUAGCGGUGAAAUGCGUAGAUAUAUGGAAGAACACCAGUGGCGAAAGCGGCUCUCUGGUCUGUAACUGACGCUGAGGUUCGAAAGCGUGGGUAGCAAACAGGAUUAGAUACCCGAGUAGUC